Molecule: ribosomal RNA, 250 nt
Filed under: uncultured bacterium
Lineage: Bacteria
Description: partial 16S ribosomal RNA
Rfam family: Bacterial small subunit ribosomal RNA
Source: RNAcentral
UACGGAGGGUGCAAGCGUUAAUCGGAUUUAUUGGGCGUAAAGGGGGCGCAGGCGGGAAGAUAAGUCAGAUGUGAAAGCCCAGGGCUCAACCUUGGAACAGCAUUUGAAACUAUUUUUCUUGAGGAUAGGCGGAGAAAACGGAAUUCCACAAGUAGCGGUGAAAUGCGUAGAUAUGUGGAAGAACACCCGUGGCGAAAGCGGUUUUCUAGCUUAUUCCUGACGCUGAGGCCCGAAAGCUAGGGGAGCAAAC